GCAAUCUACCUUUCACAGAGGGAUAGCCCAGAGAAAUUUGGAUUAAUACCUCAUAGUAUUACGAAGUGGCAUCAUUUUGUAAUUAAAGUUUCAACGGUGAAAGAUGAGCAUGCGUCCCAUUAGCUAGAUGGUAAGGUAACGGCUUACCAUGGCUACGAUGGGUAGGGGUCCUGAGAGGGAGAUCC
RNAcentral lists this ribosomal RNA (185 nucleotides) under uncultured Bacteroidota bacterium. RNAcentral describes it as "uncultured Bacteroidetes bacterium partial 16S ribosomal RNA". It matches the Rfam family "Bacterial small subunit ribosomal RNA", at positions 121 to 306 of the family's 1533-position model. Lineage: Bacteria; Pseudomonadati; Bacteroidota. The record is from RNAcentral.